ACAAGCGGCGGAGCAUGUGGAUUAAUUCGAUGCAACGCGAAGAACCUUACCUGGGCUUGACAUACACCGGAUCGGGCUAGAGAUAGUCUUUCCCUUGUGGCUGGUGUACAGGUGGUGCAUGGUUGUCGUCAGCUCGUGUCGUGAGAUGUUGGGUUAAGUCCCGCAACGAGCGCAACCCUUGUCUUAUGUUGCCAGCACGUGAUGGUGGGGACUCAUGAGAGACUGCCGGGGUUAACUCGGAGGAAGGUGGGGAUGACGUCAAAUCAUCAUGCCCCUUAUGUCCAGGGCUUCACACAUGCUACAAUGGUCGGUACAACGCGUGUGCGACACUGUGAGGUGAAGCUAAUCGCUCUAAAGCCGGUCGUAGUUCGGAUUGGGGUCUGCAACUCGACCCCAUGAAGUCGGAGUCGCUAGUAAUCGCAGAUCAGCAACGCUGCGGUGAAUACGUUCCCGGGCCUU
RNAcentral lists this ribosomal RNA (459 nucleotides) under uncultured Corynebacterium sp. RNAcentral's name for it is "bacterial SSU rRNA". It matches the Rfam family "Bacterial small subunit ribosomal RNA", at positions 925 to 1382 of the family's 1533-position model. Lineage: Bacteria; Bacillati; Actinomycetota; Actinomycetes; Mycobacteriales; Corynebacteriaceae. The record is from RNAcentral.